CCAUUAGUUUCUCUUCAGCUCGGUAAAGGGUGUCUAUAUGUGAAAGACUUACAAAGCGACUCUCACGAGUAAUCUAACGGCUACCUAACGAGAUAAUUUGAUAUUACUCGAUGCUCUCGCGAAUAUACGGUUUGAGUGGUGAGUUUCAAGAUGAAAGACCACGUGCAUAUGUCUCUAUUCUAUAUGUUAUCGAUACUUCGAAAAAGGAUGACUAUAAUCGAAUGUUGAACGAUCCUGUAAAAAACGGUGAUGUAACUCUCUCUCUCUCUCUCCCUGUAUUCGAACUCAUUUAGAAACUAGUAUUUCCUUUCUUCUGGCUGAAAAGAUCAUCGAUGUCACGCGGGAUCCUUGAAGCAGGAGCUAUUAUGGCCGGUCAAGCCUACGCUCUAGGCCAGGGGCUAGGCUAGGCUAUUUCCGCUGUUUAGCUUAUGGACAAAAAUAGUCGUUGAGAGCCGAGUAAAUUCGCCUUCGAAUUUACUGGGACUUUUAGAAAGAAUAAGGACAAUGAGCAGAAAAGCACAGAAUUUGGCAAUAGAUCUUUAACGAAAAUUUGUGCAAAGAGAAUUUCGAAACAACGAGAAGACCGAGAUAUUUUAAAUCGUCCACUUGUUGGCAGUAGUUACGUUGCAACAGUGAAAUCGUUCGUCUUGAGCUAUCCGAUGGAUAGAUAGAUUUGCGGCAUAAUUUUGGCAAGCUUCUAAUGGCACUUAUAGCUGAUUGUCCACACGAGUGACGAGUUUUUGCAUUGCUAAAACGGGAAAAAGAAUGAAACGAAGAGCGAGUAAGUCGAGUUUUAAAGCGAACUCGAUAUAAUAUUGUCACAUUGAUGUCUACAAUAUUAUUUUAUCUUCUUUCUUUUUAUUUUAUACACAUACGCACACACAGAGGGAGAGAGAGAGAGAGAGAAUAUUAAAAAUAUAAUAAGAAAAGGUGUGGUGUCGAUCCCUCUUGUGCUUACAAUAUCGAGAAUAAUAAAAGCAUGCUUUAGUGUGCCAAAACACUCAACAAAGUUAUGAUAUAUAUCGUUACGUGCCGACUAACUACUAAGAGUCAACAAUGUAAGGAAGUACAUUGCUAAGGAAUCUGCGAUAGAAGAUACUUCGAGAUAUUGUCGAUCUUUCUAAAAUAAAAUAAUUUUCUAUUUCUCGCCGUUCGUAGAUUAGACAAAGAUGAAAAUUAAUAAAGAGAUUAAUUGGAAGAUACUUCGAGAUAUUGUCGUUCUUUCGAAAAUAAAAUAAUUUCUUAUUUCUCGCCGUUCGUAGAUUAGACGAAGAUGAAAAUUAAUAAAGAGAUUAAUUGUAAAACGAAUAAAAUGGAGAAUUUCUUUCUUCAAAUUUUUUACCCCAAAUUCUUAAUAACUUUGGAUCUUCAGGGAAAUUUCCAAAGGAAUUUUCGUCUCGGUCGUGACGUCACAAACGUAUUAUUAUUUGGCACGGUUAAAACGUGACGUCGCAGCUCGAUGAAAGGCCGAACAUCGAGAAAAAGAGAGAGAGAGAGAGAGAGAGAGAGAGAGAUACAAAAAGAAAGAGAGAAAAAGAGAGAGACAGAGAGAAAUAGAAAAAGAGAAAAAGAGAAAGAGAGAGAGAAAAAAAAUAUGAUAGAUGGACGUGCGUGGCGAUCGACGUGUCAGAGUAGGAGGGAUAAUUGGAUUUUUCAAAAGAACGUCUCUUUGGCAAGCCGAGAGCACUUCCUCGGCUCGAGACAAGCUUUGGCCGAGUUUGAGAAGCGUCGAGCUCGAGAACGAGUCAUAAUAAUAACGUCUCAUGCAAGGAUUCCGCCGCUUGUGAUUCCUAUCUUAAAUUUAAAUAGAAUAGUAGUGGUGGUGCCUGUUGGUGGUGCUGAUGCUGUUGCUAUUCCUACUGCUACUGCUGUUGGUGGUGAUAGUGGUCACCGUAGUUAAAACGUACGAAGAAGAUAUCACGUGCAACAAAGUAACAAUUCGUAAAUGCAACGACGAGUAGACGCGACUGCCCUUGGAGAGGAUCCAAAAUAGGUCUGCCACCUUGCUUCGAAACAGCU
Molecule: long non-coding RNA, 2019 nt
Organism: Vespa mandarinia (Asian giant hornet)
Lineage: Eukaryota; Metazoa; Arthropoda; Insecta; Hymenoptera; Vespidae
Source: RefSeq, a predicted model, not a curated record